RNAcentral lists this long non-coding RNA (458 nucleotides) under Felis catus (domestic cat). RNAcentral describes it as "lncRNA (ENSFCAG00000053820.1)". Lineage: Eukaryota; Metazoa; Chordata; Mammalia; Carnivora; Felidae. The record is from RNAcentral.
UGACACAGCGGUGAGAUGCUGGGGAGAGAGAGCGAGUUUCAAAAGGACAAAGGUUUUAUUGGGGCCUAGGGGCAGUUGGUGAGGUAAUGGCUGUGGCCUCAGCCGAUUGGCUGGGGAGGGGUCCGAGUCCUCUUAAGCAGGUGAGGGGGAGGUUACUCAAGGGGAGGAGGCGUGGUCAAGGUGAAGGACACAGAACAAGAUGGAGUUGGCCGGCGUAGGCCCACCCUUUCAGGUGUGUGCUUUCACCUCACUCUCUUUCCCUCUUCUCCCCAGAUUGCUUAUGAUGACAGUGCUGGAGGACAUCAUGACGUUGAAAGAGUCUGUUUCCCCCAAUCAUCUUGUGGAGGAAAAGCAACUCUGGAGACCAUGCAGGAGAAGGAGUGGUAUCCCAUGACUGCAUCACUAGAGAGAGAGAGAAAGAGAGAGAGAGAAUAAAAGAAUAAUAAAAAAAAAGAACA